This 406-nucleotide ribosomal RNA is filed under the name uncultured bacterium. RNAcentral's name for it is "partial 16S ribosomal RNA". It matches the Rfam family "Bacterial small subunit ribosomal RNA", at positions 30 to 526 of the family's 1533-position model. The record is from RNAcentral.
AUUGAACGCUGGCGGCAGGCCUAACACAUGCAAGUCGAACGAGUGGCGGACGGGUGAGUAAUGGCUGGGAAACUGCCUGAUGGAGGGGGAUAACUACGGGAAACGGUAGAUAAUACCGCAUACCAUCAGAUGUGCCUAGAUGGGAUUAGAUUGUUGGUGGGGUAACGGCGUACCAAGGCGACGAUCCCUAGCUGGUCUGAGAGGGUGACCAGCCACACUGGAACUGAGACACGGUCCGGACUCCUACGAGAGGCCGCAGUAGGGAAUCUUGCGCAAUGGGCGCAAGUCUGAUGCAGCCAUGCCGCGUGUAUGAAGAAGGUUUUCGGGUUGUAAAGUACUUUUAGCGGGGAUGCGUUACCCACCGAGAAAGCCCCGGCUAACUCCGUGCCAGCAGCCGCGGUAAUUC